This 497-nucleotide ribosomal RNA is filed under the name uncultured bacterium. RNAcentral's name for it is "partial 16S ribosomal RNA". It matches the Rfam family "Bacterial small subunit ribosomal RNA", at positions 28 to 507 of the family's 1533-position model. The record is from RNAcentral.
GAUGAACGCUGGCGGCGUGCCUAAUACAUGCAAGUCGAGCGAACGGAGGAGAAGCUUGCUUCUCUGAUGUUAGCGGCGGACGGGUGAGUAACACGUGGAUAACCUACCUAUAAGACUGGGAUAACUUCGGGAAACCGGAGCUAAUACCGGAUGAUAUUUUGAACCGCAUGGUUCAAAAGUGAAAGACGGUCUUGCUGUCACUUAUAGAUGGAUCCGCGCUGCAUUAGCUAGUUGGUAAGGUAACGGCUUACCAAGGCAACGAUGCAUAGCCGACCUGAGAGGGUGAUCGGCCACACUGGAACUGAGACACGGUCCAGACUCCUACGGGAGGCAGCAGUAGGGAAUCUUCCGCAAUGGGCGAAAGCCUGACGGAGCAACGCCGCGUGAGUGAUGAAGGUCUUCGGAUCGUAAAACUCUGUUAUUAGGGAAGAACAUAUGUGUAAGUAACUGUGCACAUCUUGACGGUACCUAAUCAGAAAGCCACGGCUAACUACGUG